UGGCCACAUCAAAUUUAAACACCAGAUCUUGUACGAUCACCGAAGUUAAGCAACGUCGCGCCUGGUCAGUAUAUAGAUGGGUAAUAGCUUGGGAAUAACAAUUGCUGUA
Non-coding RNA from Acanthosepion pharaonis, 109 nucleotides. NCBI's taxonomy places the organism in Eukaryota, Metazoa, Mollusca, Cephalopoda, Sepiida, Sepiidae. The record is from the annotation of a GenBank genome assembly.